CUGCAUGGCUGUCGUCAGCUCGUGUCGUGAGAUGUUGGGUUAAGUCCCGCAACGAGCGCAACCCUUGUCCCUAGUUGCUACGCAAGAGCACUCUAGGGAGACUGCCGGUGACAAACCGGAGGAAGGUGGGGAUGACGUCAAGUCCUCAUGGCCCUUACGGGUAGGGCUUCACACGUCAUACAAUGGUCGGAACAGAGGGUCGCCAACCCGCGAGGGGGAGCCAAUCCCAGAAAACCGAUCGUAGUCCGGAUCGCACUCUGCAACUCGAGUGCGUGAAGCUGGAAUCGCUAGUAAUCGCGGAUCAGCAUGCCGCGGUGAAUACGUU
Molecule: ribosomal RNA, 325 nt
Filed under: uncultured bacterium
Lineage: Bacteria
Description: bacterial SSU rRNA
Rfam family: Bacterial small subunit ribosomal RNA
Source: RNAcentral